UGGGGAAUAUUGGACAAUGGGCGAAAGCCUGAUCCAGCCAUGCCGCGUGUGUGAAGAAGGCCUUAUGGUUGUAAAGCACUUUAAGUGGGGAGGAAAAGCUUAUGGAUAAUACCCAUAGGUUCUGACGUUACCCACAGAAUAAGCACCGGCUAACUCUGUGCCAGCAGCCGCGGUAAUACAGAGGGUGCGAGCGUUAAUCGGAAUUACUGGGCGUAAAGCGAGCGUAGGUGGUUUAUUAAGUCAGAUGUGAAAUCCCUGGGCUUAACCUAGGAACUGCAUCUGAUACUGAUAAACUAGAGUAGGUGAGAGGAAAGUAGAAUUCCAGGUGUAGCGGUGAAAUGCGUAGAUAUCCGGAGGAAUACCGAUGGCGAAGGCAGCUUUCUGGCAUCAUACUGACACUGAGGUUCGAAAGCGUGGGUAGCAAACAGGAUUAGAUACCCUGGUAGUCCACGCCGUAAACGAUGUCUACCAGUCGUUGGGUCUUUUAAAGACUUAGUGACGCAGUUAACGCAAUAAGUAGACCGCCUGGGGAGUACGGCCGCAAGGUUA
RNAcentral lists this ribosomal RNA (549 nucleotides) under uncultured bacterium. RNAcentral's name for it is "bacterial SSU rRNA". It matches the Rfam family "Bacterial small subunit ribosomal RNA", at positions 355 to 896 of the family's 1533-position model. The record is from RNAcentral.